Molecule: transfer RNA, 72 nt
Organism: Ovis aries (sheep)
Lineage: Eukaryota; Metazoa; Chordata; Mammalia; Artiodactyla; Bovidae
Rfam family: tRNA
About the family: Transfer RNA (tRNA) molecules are approximately 80 nucleotides in length. Their secondary structure includes four short double-helical elements and three loops (D, anti-codon, and T loops).
Source: Rfam
UCCUGGUUAGCUCAGCUUGUAAAGAAUCUGCCUGCAAUGCAGGAGACCCUGGUUCGAUUCCUGGAUCAGGAA